RNAcentral lists this ribosomal RNA (481 nucleotides) under Actinomyces sp. oral taxon 169. RNAcentral describes it as "bacterial SSU rRNA". It matches the Rfam family "Bacterial small subunit ribosomal RNA", at positions 28 to 495 of the family's 1533-position model. The record is from RNAcentral. Lineage: Bacteria; Bacillati; Actinomycetota; Actinomycetes; Actinomycetales; Actinomycetaceae.
GACGAACGCUGGCGGCGUGCUUAACACAUGCAAGUCGAACGGUGAAGGGACCGGUUUUUGCUGGUUCUGGAUGAGUGGCGAACGGGUGAGUAACACGUGAGUAACCUGCCCCCUUCUUCUGGACAACCGCAUGAAAGUGUGGCUAAUACGGGAUAUUCUGGGUCUGUCGCAUGAUGGGUCUGGGAAAGAUAUUGCUUCGGUGGGGGAUGGGCUCGCGGCCUAUCAGCUUGUUGGUGGGGUGAUGGCCUACCAAGGCGGUGACGGGUAGCCGGCCUGAGAGGGUGGACGGUCACACUGGGACUGAGACACGGCCCAGACUCCUACGGGAGGCAGCAGUGGGGAAUAUUGCACAAUGGGCGCAAGCCUGAUGCAGCGACGCCGCGUGAGGGAUGGAGGCCUUCGGGUUGUAAACCUCUUUCGCCAGUGAAGCAGGCCCGCCUCUUUUGUGGGUGGGUUGACGGUAGCUGGAUAAGAACGCGCC